Molecule: ribosomal RNA, 793 nt
Filed under: Phragmocapnias betle
Lineage: Eukaryota; Fungi; Ascomycota; Dothideomycetes; Capnodiales; Capnodiaceae
Description: partial large subunit ribosomal RNA
Rfam family: Eukaryotic large subunit ribosomal RNA
Source: RNAcentral
AGUGAAGCGGCAACAGCUCAGAUUUGAAAUCUGGCGCCUUUGGCGUCCGAGUUGUAAUCUGUAGAGGAUGCUUUUGGGUAGCCACCGGUCUAAGUCCCCUGGAACGGGGCGUCACAGAGGGUGAGAAUCCCGUAUGUGACCGGAAGGGCGCCCUCCACAUAGCUCCUUCGACGAGUCGAGUUGUUUGGGAAUGCAGCUCUAAAUGGGAGGUAAAUUCCUUCUAAAGCUAAAUACCGGCCAGAGACCGAUAGCGCACAAGUAGAGUGAUCGAAAGAUGAAAAGCACUUUGGAAAGAGAGUUAAAAAGCACGUGAAAUUGUUGAAAGGGAAGCGCUUGCAACCAGACUUGUUGGCGGUGUUCCGCCGGUCUUCUGACCGGUCUACUCACCGUCUGCAGGCCAGCAUCAUCUGGGGCCGCUGGAUAAAAGCGAGGGGAAUGUGGCUCCCCCGGGAGUGUUAUAGCCCCUCGUGCAAUACAGCGAGCCUCGGGUGAGGUCCGCGCUUCGGCUAGGAUGCUGGCGUAAUGGUCGUAAGCGGCCCGUCUUGAAACACGGACCAAGGAGUCUAACAUCUAUGCGAGUGUUCGGGUGUCAAACCCCUACGCGUAAUGAAAGUGAACGGAGGUGGGAGCCUUAGGGUGCACCAUCGACCGAUCCUGAUGUCUUCGGAUGGAUUUGAGUAAGAGCAUAGCUGUUGGGACCCGAAAGAUGGUGAACUAUGCCUGGAUAGGGUGAAGCCAGAGGAAACUCUGGUGGAGGCUCGCAGCGGUUCUGACGUGCAAAUCGAUCGUCAAA